This 1245-nucleotide ribosomal RNA is filed under the name metagenome. RNAcentral describes it as "bacterial LSU rRNA". It matches the Rfam family "Bacterial large subunit ribosomal RNA", at positions 1564 to 2818 of the family's 2925-position model. The record is from RNAcentral.
UGAAUACGAGAUGCUACGGCGUCGAAGCAGUCUAUGUCAUACUUCCAAGAAAAGCUUGCACUGUCAUAAACAAAUAAUGCCUGUACCAUAACCGACACAGGUGGGUAGGUAGAGUAUACUAAGGGGCGCGAGAUAACUCUCUCUAAGGAACUCGGCAAAAUGACUCCGUAACUUCGGGAGAAGGAGUGCCUUAUUUAUAAGGUUGCAAUAACAAGACCCAAGCAACCGUUUAUCAAAAACACAGGUCUCCGCUAAGUCGUAAGACGAUGUAUGGGGGCUGACGCCUGCCCAGUGCCAGAAGGUUAAAGAAGUUGGUUAGCAUUAGCGAAGCUGAUGACUGAAGCCCUGGUGAACGGCGGCCGUAACUAUAACGGUCCUAAGGUAGCGAAAUUCCUUGUCGGGUAAGUUCCGACCCGCACGAAAGGCGUAAUGAUUUGGGUACUGUCUCAGAGAGGGACUCGGAGAAAUAGACUUGUCUGUGAAGAUGCGGACUACCUGCACCUGGACAGAAAGACCCUAUGAAGCUUUACUGUAACCUGAAAUUGAAAUUGGACUUUAUUUGCGCAGUAUAGGUGGGAGGCUUUGAAGAUAUUCUUGCGGGAAUGUUGGAGCCAUCAGUGAGAUACCACUCUUGUAAUGUUAGAUUUCUAACUUUGUAUCAUUAUCUGGUCAAAGAACAGUUUCAGGCGGGCAGUUUGACUGGGGCGGUCGCCUCCUAAACGGUAACGGAGGCGCACAAAGGUUUCCUCUGAACGGGUAGAAAUCGUGUCUAGAGUGUAAAGGCAUAAGGAAGCUUGACUGUGAGACCUACAAGUCGAGCAGGGACGAAAGUCGGUCUUAGUGAUCUGACGGUGCUGAGUGGAAAGGCCGUCACUCAACGGAUAAAAGUUACUCUAAGGAUAACAGGCUGAUCUCCCCCAAGAGUUCACAUCGACGGGGAGGUUUGGCACCUCGAUGUCGGCUCAUCGCAUCCUGGGGCGGUAGUACGUCCCAAGGGUUGGGCUGUUCGCCCAUGAAAGCGGUACGCGAGCUGGGUUCAGAACGUCGUGAGACAGUUCGGUCCAUAUCCGGUGUAGGCGUUAGAAUAUUGAGAGGAGCCUUCUCUAGUACGAGAGGACCGAGAAGGACACACCUCUGGUGUACCAGUUAUCGUGCCAACGGUAAACGCUGGGUAGCUAUGUGUGGAGCGGAUAACCGCUGAAAGCAUCUAAGUGGGAAGCCCACCUCAAGAUAAGUAUUCUCAUC